GACGAACGCUGGCGGCGUGGAUUAGGCAUGCAAGUCGAACGGUAUCAUCCUUUCGGGGGUGAGAGAGUGGCGAACUGGUGAGUAACACGUAGGUUAUCUACCCUCAAGACGGGGACAACCCAGGGAAACUUGGGCUAAUACCGGAUGUGAGCAACUUUUAGUUGUUUGAAAGGUGGCGUAAGCUGUCGCUUGGGGAUGAGCCUGCGUCCUAUUAGUUAGUUGGUGAGGUAACGGCUCACCUAGGCAAUGAUAGGUAGGCGGCCUUAACGGGUGGUCGCCCACACUGGGAUUGAGAUACGGCCCAGACUCCUACGGGAGGCAGCAGUCGAGAAUAGUCUACAAUGGUCGGAAGACUGAUAGUGCGACGCCGCGUGAACGAUGAAUCCCUUCGGGGUGUAAAAGUUCUUUUAUAUGUGAGCAGUGCUUCUAUAUUAACAGUAUGGGGAGAGAGAUAUUAGCAUAUGAAUAAGCAACGGCUAAACUCCGUGCCAAGCAGCCGCGGUAAUA
This 507-nucleotide ribosomal RNA is filed under the name uncultured bacterium. RNAcentral's name for it is "bacterial SSU rRNA". It matches the Rfam family "Bacterial small subunit ribosomal RNA", at positions 28 to 525 of the family's 1533-position model. The record is from RNAcentral.